RNAcentral lists this ribosomal RNA (270 nucleotides) under uncultured prokaryote. RNAcentral describes it as "partial 16S ribosomal RNA". It matches the Rfam family "Bacterial small subunit ribosomal RNA", at positions 524 to 792 of the family's 1533-position model. The record is from RNAcentral.
GACGGAGGGUGCGAGCGUUAUUCGGAAUUAUUGGGCGUAAAGAGCGUGUAGGCGGCCGGUUAAGUCAGGUGUGAAAGCCCAGGGCUCAACCCUGGAAGUGCACUUGAAACUGGUCGGCUUGAGUCCGGGAGAGGGAAGCGGAAUUCCGGGUGUAGAGGUGAAAUUCGUAGAUAUCCGGAGGAACACCGGUGGCGAAGGCGGCUUCCUGGACCGAGACUGACGCUGAGACGCGAAAGCGUGGGGAGCAAACAGGAUUAGAUACCCCCGGUA